GUGAAGUCGGGGCCAGGAGCGGGGGUAAUAGAGGGGGGGCAAGGGUUGAUCGGAUUUGCUGGGCGUAAGGCGUGAGUAGGUGGCGCGCUAAGUGGAGUGGGAAAGCCCUGUGCUCAACCUGGGAGGUGCAGUCGAUACUGGAGAGCUAGAGUUCGGUAGAGGGUGACGGAAUUCCCGGUGUAGCGGUGAAAUGCGUAGAUAUCGGGAGGAACAUCGAUGGCGAAGGCAAUCACCUGGGCCUGAACUGACACUGAGACACGAAAGCGUGGGUAGCAAACAGGAUUAGAUACCCGGGUAGUC
RNAcentral lists this ribosomal RNA (300 nucleotides) under uncultured Persephonella sp. RNAcentral describes it as "partial 16S ribosomal RNA". It matches the Rfam family "Bacterial small subunit ribosomal RNA", at positions 496 to 795 of the family's 1533-position model. The record is from RNAcentral. Lineage: Bacteria; Pseudomonadati; Aquificota; Aquificia; Aquificales; Hydrogenothermaceae.